GACGAACGCUGGCGGCGUGCUUAACACAUGCAAGUCGAACGGAAAGGCCCUGCUUGCAGGGUACUCGAGUGGCGAACGGGUGAGUAACACGUGGGUGAUCUGCCCUGCACUUCGGGAUAAGCCUGGGAAACUGGGUCUAAUACCGGAUAGGAGCCAUUUUUAGUGUGAUGGUUGGAAAGUUUUUUCGGUGUAGGAUGAGCUCGCGGCCUAUCAGCUUGUUGGUGGGGUAAUGGCCUACCAAGGCGGCGACGGGUAGCCGGCCUGAGAGGGUGGACGGCCACCUUGGGGCUGGGAUACGGCCCAGACUCCUACGGGGAGCAGCAGUGGGGAAUAUUGCACAAUGGGCGCAAGCCUGAUGCAGCGACGCCGCGUGGGGGAUGACGGCCUUCGGGUUGGAAACUCCUUUCGCUAGGGACGAAGCUUUUUGUGACGGUACCUAGAUAAGAAGCACCGGCUAACUACGUG
RNAcentral lists this ribosomal RNA (465 nucleotides) under uncultured bacterium. RNAcentral's name for it is "partial 16S ribosomal RNA". It matches the Rfam family "Bacterial small subunit ribosomal RNA", at positions 28 to 507 of the family's 1533-position model. The record is from RNAcentral.